GGGCUUUGGGCAUGCUAUACAUGCAGUCGAGCGAACUGAUUAGAAGCUUGCUUCUAUGACGUUAGCGGCGGACGGGUGAGUAACACGUGGGCAACCUGCCUGUAAGACUGGGAUAACUCCGGGAAACCGGAGCUAAUACCGGAUAACAUUUUCUCUUGCAUAAGAGAAAAUUGAAAGAUGGUUUCGGCUAUCACUUACAGAUGGGCCCGCGGUGCAUUAGCUAGUUGGUGAGGUAACGGCUCACCAAGGCAACGAUGCAUAGCCGACCUGAGAGGGUGAUCGGCCACACUGGGACUGAGACACGGCCCAGACUCCUACGGGAGGCAGCAGUAGGGAAUCUUCCGCAAUGGACGAAAGUCUGACGGAGCAACGCCGCGUGAGUGAUGAAGGCUUUCGGGUCGUAAAACUCUGUUGUUAGGGAAGAACAAGUACAAGAGUAACUGCUUGUACCUUGACGGUACCUAACCAGAAAGCCACGGCUAACUACGUGCCAGCAGCCGCGGUAAUACGUAGGUGGCAAGCGUUAUCCGGAAUUAUUGGGCGUAAAGCGCGCGCAGGCGGUUUCUUAAGUCUGAUGUGAAAGCCCACGGCUCAACCGUGGAGGGUCAUUGGAAACUGGGGGAACUUGAGUGCAGAAGAAAAAAGCGGAAUUCCACGUGUAGCGGUGAAAUGCGUAAAAGAUGGGGGAGGAACACCAGGUGGGCGAAGGCGGGCUU
Molecule: ribosomal RNA, 716 nt
Filed under: Priestia flexa
Lineage: Bacteria; Bacillati; Bacillota; Bacilli; Caryophanales; Bacillaceae
Description: bacterial SSU rRNA
Rfam family: Bacterial small subunit ribosomal RNA
Source: RNAcentral